GCCACCCUAGCUCAGCUGGUAGAGCAAUCGCCUUGUAAGCGAUGGGUCAUCGGUUCGAAUCCGAUGGGUGGCUCCA
Molecule: transfer RNA, 76 nt
Filed under: Candidatus Peregrinibacteria bacterium
Lineage: Bacteria; Candidatus Peregrinibacteriota
Description: tRNA-Thr
Rfam family: tRNA
About the family: Transfer RNA (tRNA) molecules are approximately 80 nucleotides in length. Their secondary structure includes four short double-helical elements and three loops (D, anti-codon, and T loops).
Source: RNAcentral